UACGUAGGGGGCAAGCGUUGUUCGGAAUUACUGGGCGUAAAGGGCGCGUAGGCGGCCUGUUAAGUCGGACGUGAAAUCCCUCGGCUCAACCGGGGAACUGCGUCCGAUACUGGCGGGCUUGAAUUCGGGAGAGGGAUGUGGAAUUCCAGGUGUAGCGGUGAAAUGCGUAGAUAUCGUAAGGAAGACCAGUGGCGAAGGCGGGUCUCUGGACAGUUCCUGACGCUGAGGCACGAAGGCCAGGGGAGCAAACGGG
Molecule: ribosomal RNA, 253 nt
Filed under: uncultured bacterium
Lineage: Bacteria
Description: partial 16S ribosomal RNA
Rfam family: Bacterial small subunit ribosomal RNA
Source: RNAcentral